This 72-nucleotide transfer RNA is filed under the name Camelus bactrianus (Bactrian camel). It matches the Rfam family "tRNA". From Rfam's summary of the family: Transfer RNA (tRNA) molecules are approximately 80 nucleotides in length. Their secondary structure includes four short double-helical elements and three loops (D, anti-codon, and T loops). Further hydrogen bonds mediate the characteristic L-shaped molecular structure. tRNAs have two regions of fundamental functional importance: the anti-codon, which is responsible for specific mRNA codon recognition, and the 3' end, to which the tRNAs corresponding amino acid is attached (by aminoacyl-tRNA synthetases). tRNAs cope with the degeneracy of the genetic code in two manners: having more than one tRNA (with a specific anti-codon) for a particular amino acid; and 'wobble' base-pairing, i.e. permitting non-standard base-pairing at the 3rd anti-codon position. The record is from Rfam by way of RNAcentral. Lineage: Eukaryota; Metazoa; Chordata; Mammalia; Artiodactyla; Camelidae. RNAcentral also lists the same sequence under 1 other name.
AGGGAAAUAGCUCAAUGGUAGAGCACAUGCCUAGCAUGCGUAAGGUCCUGGAGUCAAUCCCCAGUACCUCCG